UUGGUGUGAAUUGCAGAAUCUCAUGAACCAUCAAGUCUUUGAAUGUAAGUUGCGCCUGAGGCCUUGGCCGAGGGCACGUCUGCAUGGGUGUCACAC
Molecule: ribosomal RNA, 96 nt
Filed under: Corynostylis sp. US:Redden6360
Lineage: Eukaryota; Viridiplantae; Streptophyta; Magnoliopsida; Malpighiales; Violaceae
Description: partial 5.8S ribosomal RNA
Rfam family: 5.8S ribosomal RNA
About the family: 5.8S ribosomal RNA (5.8S rRNA) is a component of the large subunit of the eukaryotic ribosome. It is transcribed by RNA polymerase I as part of the 45S precursor that also contains 18S and 28S rRNA.
Source: RNAcentral